CCUACGGGUGGCAGCAGUGAGGAAUAUUGGUCAAUGGCCGAGAGGCUGAACCAGCCAAGUCGCGUGAGGGAAGACGGCCCUACGGGUUGUAAACCUCUUUUGUCGGGGAGCAAAGCGAGUCACGUGUGACUCAUUGAGAGUACCCGAAGAAAAAGCAUCGGCUAACUCCGUGCCAGCAGCCGCGGUAAUACGGAGGAUCCGAGCGUUAUCCGGAUUUAUUGGGUUUAAGGGGUGCGUAGGCGGUCAGGUAAGUUAGAGGUGAAAGCUCGAUGCUCAACAUCGAAACUGCCUCUGAUACUGUCUGACUAGAGUGUAGUUGCGGAAGGCGGAAUGUGUGGUGUAGCGGUGAAAUGCUUAGAUAUCACACAGAACACCGAUUGCGAAGGCAGCUUUCCAAGCUAUGACUGACGCUGAGGCACGAAAGCGUGGGGAGCGAACAGGAUUAGAUACCCUGGUAGUC
RNAcentral lists this ribosomal RNA (460 nucleotides) under uncultured bacterium. RNAcentral's name for it is "partial 16S ribosomal RNA". It matches the Rfam family "Bacterial small subunit ribosomal RNA", at positions 338 to 795 of the family's 1533-position model. The record is from RNAcentral.